CCCUUAGAUGUUCUGGGCCGCACGCGCGCUACACUGAUGCAUUCAACGAGUCCAACCUUGACCGAGAGGUCCGGGUAAUCUUUGAAACUGCAUCGUGAUGGGGCUAGAUUAUUGCAAUUAUUAAUCUUCAACGAGGAAUGCCUAGUAAGCGUGAUUCAUCAAAUCGCGUUGAUUACGUCCCUGCCCUUUGUACACACCGCCCGUCGCUCCUACCGAUUGAGUGUGUUGGUGAGGAGUUUGGAUUGGCCUCGGAAGGUGGUUCGCCACCGUCCGUAGCUGAGAAGUUCUCCAAACCACCCCACUUAGAGGAAGGAGAAGUCGUAACA
This 326-nucleotide ribosomal RNA is filed under the name uncultured eukaryote. RNAcentral describes it as "partial 18S ribosomal RNA". It matches the Rfam family "Eukaryotic small subunit ribosomal RNA", at positions 1470 to 1796 of the family's 1831-position model. The record is from RNAcentral.